GAGGAGUGGCCGAGUGGUUGAAGGCGGCGGUCUUGAAAACCGUUGUGGGGACCUCUCCACCGUGGGUUCGAAUCCUACCUCCUCC
Molecule: transfer RNA, 85 nt
Filed under: marine eukaryotic metagenome
Rfam family: tRNA
About the family: Transfer RNA (tRNA) molecules are approximately 80 nucleotides in length. Their secondary structure includes four short double-helical elements and three loops (D, anti-codon, and T loops).
Source: RNAcentral